GUCUGUGUCCCCUUUACAAAAUUUUGUAAUGGCUUUAUAUAGCCAAAAAGAAAAUACAAAAAAUCCUUAUUUUUGUUUUUCUUUUUUUCUUUCUGCUAUUACAAUUUUUUUCAUUUUUUUCCUAAUUUUUGCUAGUAUUUGCUGUCGGUUUCUGCUCUUCUUUGUUGCGUUUUGUCUGCCUCUGUUUGUUGCAGGUACGGUGCGGGUGUUGCGGUGUGCGUGGCAGAUGCAGAAGGUACGGAGGCACACGUGAGGGGAGCGGCUCGAAGGCGCGGUUCGUGCGAGAGCAGAGCCUGGUUGCAGCGUUGGGGUUUCUGAGUGCUGCUUGGUGUUGGGCCGUCGGGUUAGGGUUAGCCAAUGGGCUUGAUUUUACAAUGGACUGUGGAUUUUUGUUUACUUUGGUUUAUUUUAUUGGUUUAUGGGCUGGGCAAAAAUGGGCUCUUACAAUGAACUUGACUCGGGAGGAGUGUUGUACUGUGGUGGAUAUGACCUAGGAGGAGUGGAGUAAUGUGGUGG
This 516-nucleotide long non-coding RNA is filed under the name Gossypium raimondii (Peruvian cotton). Its description in RNAcentral is "long non-coding RNA (GRAI_LNC008638)". Lineage: Eukaryota; Viridiplantae; Streptophyta; Magnoliopsida; Malvales; Malvaceae. The record is from RNAcentral.